CUAUCUGCAGUCGAGCGGAAGAAGGGAGCUUGCUCCCGGAUGUUAGCGGCGGACGGGUGAGUAACACGUGGGUAACCUGCCUGUAAGACUGGGAUAACUCCGGGAAACCGGAGCUAAUACCGGAUAGUUCCUUGAACCACAUGGUUCAAGGAUGAAAGACGGUUUCGGCUGUCACUUACAGAUGGACCCGCGGCGCAUUAGCUAGUUGGUGAGGUAACGGCUCACCAAGGCGACGAUGCGUAGCCGACCUGAGAGGGUGAUCGGCCACACUGGGACUGAGACACGGCCCAGACUCCUACGGGAGGCAGCAGUAGGGAAUCUUCCGCAAUGGACGAAAGUCUGACGGAGCAACGCCGCGUGAGUGAUGAAGGUUUUCGGAUCGUAAAGCUCUGUUGUUAGGGAAGAACAAGUGCAAGAGUAACUGCUUGCACCUUGACGGUACCUAACCAGAAAGCCACGGCUAACUACGUGCCAGCAGCCGCGGUAAUACGUAGGUGGCAAGCGUUGUCCGGAAUUAUUGGGCGUAAAGGGCUCGCAGGCGGUUUCUUAAGUCUGAUGUGAAAGCCCCCGGCUCAACCGGGGAGGGUCAUUGGAAACUGGGAAACUUGAGUGCAGAAGAGGAGAGUGGAAUUCCACGUGUAGCGGUGAAAUGCGUAAAGAUGUGGAGGAACACCAGUGGCGAAGGCGACUCUCUGGUCUGUAACUGACGCUGAAGAGCGAAAGCGUGGGGAGCGAACAGGAUUAAAUACCCUGGUAGUCCACGCCGUAAACGAUGAGUGCUAAAUGUUAGGGGGUUUCCCCCCUUAUUGCUGCAGCUAACGCAUUAAGCACUCCCCCUGGGGAGUACGGUC
Molecule: ribosomal RNA, 851 nt
Filed under: uncultured bacterium
Lineage: Bacteria
Description: bacterial SSU rRNA
Rfam family: Bacterial small subunit ribosomal RNA
Source: RNAcentral